UACGAGUGCCUCAAGCGUUAUCCGGAAUCAUUGGGCGUAAAGGUUGUGUAGGUGGUUAUAUUAGUCUUCUGUUAAAUUCUUCGGCUUAACCGGGGGCAUGCAGAGGAAACGGUAUAACUUGAGGAUGCGAGAGGUCUGCGGAACUCAUAGUGUAGCGGUGAAAUGCGUUGAUAUUAUGGGGAACACCAAAAGCGAAGGCAGCAGACUGGAGCACUCCUGACACUGAAACAAGAAAGCGUGGGUCGCGAAUGGG
Molecule: ribosomal RNA, 253 nt
Filed under: uncultured bacterium
Lineage: Bacteria
Description: partial 16S ribosomal RNA
Rfam family: Bacterial small subunit ribosomal RNA
Source: RNAcentral